RNAcentral lists this ribosomal RNA (333 nucleotides) under uncultured Streptococcus sp. RNAcentral's name for it is "bacterial SSU rRNA". It matches the Rfam family "Bacterial small subunit ribosomal RNA", at positions 1046 to 1382 of the family's 1533-position model. Lineage: Bacteria; Bacillati; Bacillota; Bacilli; Lactobacillales; Streptococcaceae. The record is from RNAcentral.
UGGUUGUCGUCAGCUCGUGUCGUGAGAUGUGGUUAAGUCCCGCAACGAGCGCAACCCCUAUUGUUAGUUGCCAUCAUUCAGUUGGGCACUCUAGCGAGACUGCCGGUAAUAAACCGGAGGAAGGUGGGGAUGACGUCAAAUCAUCAUGCCCCUUAUGACCUGGGCUACACACGUGCUACAAUGGUUGGUACAACGAGUUGCGAGUCGGUGACGGCGAGCUAAUCUCUUAAAGCCAAUCUCAGUUCGGAUUGUAGGCUGCAACUCGCCUACAUGAAGUCGGAAUCGCUAGUAAUCGCGGAUCAGCACGCCGCGGUGAAUACGUUCCCGGGCCUU